AACGAACGCUGGCGGCAGGCCUAACACAUGCAAGUCGAACGCUCCAGCAAUGGAGAGUGGCAGACGGGUGAGUAACGCGUGGGAACCUACCCUUUGGUUCGGAAUAGCCCAGGGAAACUUGGGGUAAUACCGGGAUAAGCCCUUCGGGGGAAAGAUUUAUCGCCAAUGGAUGGGCCCGCGUCGGAUUAGCUAGUUGGUGGGGUAACGGCCUACCAAGGCGACGAUCCGUAGCUGGUCUGAGAGGAUGAUCAGCCACACUGGGACUGAGACACGGCCCAGACUCCUACGGGAGGCAG
This 296-nucleotide ribosomal RNA is filed under the name uncultured Pseudomonadota bacterium. RNAcentral's name for it is "uncultured proteobacterium partial 16S ribosomal RNA". It matches the Rfam family "Bacterial small subunit ribosomal RNA", at positions 29 to 351 of the family's 1533-position model. Lineage: Bacteria; Pseudomonadati; Pseudomonadota. The record is from RNAcentral.